Molecule: ribosomal RNA, 484 nt
Filed under: uncultured bacterium
Lineage: Bacteria
Description: partial 16S ribosomal RNA
Rfam family: Bacterial small subunit ribosomal RNA
Source: RNAcentral
AUUGAACGCUGGCGGCAGGCCUAACACAUGCAAGUCGAGCGGCUGAAGGGAGCUUGCUCCUGGAUUCAGCGGCGGACGGGGGAGUAAUGCCUAGGAAUCUGCCUGGUAGUGGGGGAUAUAGUCCGGAAACGGGCGCUAAUAUCGCAUACGUCCUGAGGGAGAAAGUGGGGGAUCUUCGGACCUCACGCUAUCAGAUGAGCCUAGGUCGGAUUAGCUAGUUGGUGGGGUAAAGGCCUACCAAGGCGACGAUCCGUAACUGGUCUGAGAGGAUGAUCAGUCACACUGGAACUGAGACACGGUCCAGACUCCUACGGGAGGCAGCAGUGGGGAAUAUUGGACAAUGGGCGAAAGCCUGAUCCAGCAAUGCCGCGUGUGUGAAGAAGGUCUUCGGAUUGUAAAGCACUUUAAGUUGGGAGGAAGGGCAGUAAGUUAAUACCGUGCUGUUUUGACGUUACCAACAGAAUAAGCACCGGCUAACUUCGUG